Molecule: long non-coding RNA, 668 nt
Filed under: Eucalyptus grandis
Lineage: Eukaryota; Viridiplantae; Streptophyta; Magnoliopsida; Myrtales; Myrtaceae
Description: long non-coding RNA (EGRA_LNC007253)
Source: RNAcentral
UGAUGAUUAAUGCCUGUAGUAACAGACGCACCAAAUAAAGGGACUAACGUUCAGAGACUAUGUGCUUCAUAUCACAUAAUCUUUUUGAAAAUUUGUGAAGAAGAGAUGGUUUUGUUUUUCAAAUUUGCUUCGAAGGACGUCUUCUAUCCUCAUAGCACCAAACCACGACAUUCUAGAAUGGACAUGAAGAAGUUACACCUGAGGCUUGUCGCAGGUUGAUAAAAAGAAAGUGGUGCACAAAGCACAGAUGUGGAGGAAAUCUCACCCUUUGUAUAAAGCCCUAAAGCCUUCUGUACGAAUGACCUGAAAGCACAGGAGAUUCAAAUGAAACAAGUAAUCAAGAAGAUAGAGCCCAAAAACAAGUCAUCUAAAAUUUAAAUAAAACCACCACAAAUCUAACUGGUUAGUAGAUAGAGCCAAAAUAGAGAGAAUUUGCUAAACAUCGCAACAUAAGAAUAUCUGGGCAAACAAGCUCAAAUGCCUCAUAUUUCUUCUCUUACAAUUUUCUUCAAAUGAGUCUAGGAUUCGUUCACUUCGCAAAAAUGUCAAAGGGUUUUCAAUUUUCAAUUUUCUUGAAAAUCAGAGAGAGUUUUCAAAAAGAAAAUUGUGAAGAUAUGUUUGGACAACUAAUCCAUUUGUGUCUCAGUGGUUGCUACAGUAUUAUAUCA